Lizanozyma spartinae is the source of this 73-nucleotide non-coding RNA. NCBI's taxonomy places the organism in Eukaryota, Fungi, Ascomycota, Pichiomycetes, Serinales, Debaryomycetaceae. The record is from the annotation of a RefSeq genome assembly.
GUUGUAUAAGCUAAAUAGGUCAAGCGUCCGUUUUGUAAUCGGAAGAAAUGGGGUUCGAUUCCUCAAUACAACA